Molecule: long non-coding RNA, 1112 nt
Organism: Scatophagus argus
Lineage: Eukaryota; Metazoa; Chordata; Actinopteri; Scatophagidae
Exons: 2
Source: RefSeq, a predicted model, not a curated record
CAGAAUGAACAUGUUAUAUCAAAUCAGUCACUGUGCUGAGAAGCUCUCUGUCCUGCAUGUUUCAUGUCUUUCUCUUCCAACACACCUGAUUCAAGGGAUCAGCUUGUCAUGCAGCCCUGCAGAAGUGUGAUAAUGACUCGUUCAUUUGAAUCAGGUGUGUCAGUGCUAGGAAACAUCUAAAACAUGCAGAGCAGGGGGUCCCCAGAACCAGGACUAAGAUACGCAAGAUUAGAGACACAACUUCAAGGAAAUUUAAUAAUAAAUUUAAUUUAAUAAGUUUUGAGUAAUUAUGGCUCCGGCUCUUCUGCUGAUGGACUCUUAUGUCAUUGUCAUAACCAUGUAUGUUGGGGUCUCCCUCCAGCCUGGUGAGGUCGUUGGCCGUGCCCAUGAACAUGCUGCGCCCUCGCUCCAGUCGGCUCUUCUUGUCUGUGAGGCGAAAGGCCUCCAUGAACUCGUCAAUAUCGAUGCUGCCAUCCUGGUUGCUGUCGAUGGUGACGGCCAGGUCUGAGAUGGCCUCAUCUGUGAUCUCCAUCUUUAGGUACACACUCAGCAGUUUCCAGGUCUGCCGGAAGUCUUCCAUGGUGAUGAAGCCUGGGGAGGUUAAAAGUUAAACAUGCAGGGUAGAAGGGAAAAGUUUAGAGACACAGUAAAAGAACAGGAUGGAAAAAGUGAUACUGGUAAGUGCAUUUGGUCAGAGGUGGCGGGUGGAGAGACCAUUAGGUCAAGGGGUUAAUCCUCGCAUUAAGUGAGAGCGCUCAGGAGGCAGUUACAAACCGUGGCCUCUUUUGCACGCUACAGGUGGAUUAACAGAACCCAGUAGAUGUUUCUAUCUGGACACAACUAAAGAGCUCUGACACACUUUACACAUCCACUGCUCCAUCCACCUUGGUUGGAUUGUCUCUCUAAGUUAGUAAGGCUACAUUCAACUCAAGAUAUUUAAUAGGAGGGGAUACUUGAACAGAGUAAAAAAAAUGUCACUGGUCAAAUAUGAAGUAGUGGAGGUCGAGAUAUCCUGAUGUUUAGUCCCUUGUGUCGGCCAAGCUCUAAAAACACUGGAUCCUUACUUUCCAUAAUGUGAUACUGAUACUGUAUUGUCUUUUUUUAACUAUUUU